AGCGAUAAGGCAUCUUAUUGCUAUUAAAGAAUUUCGGUGUUUGAUGGGGAUGCGUUCCAUUAGAUUGUUGGUGAGGUAACGGCUCACCAAGUCUUCGAUGGAUAGGGGUUCUGAGAGGAAGGUCCCCCACAUUGGAACUGAGACACGGUCCAAACUCCUACGGGAGGCAGCAGUGAGGAAUAUUGGUCAAUGGACGAGAGUCUGAACCAGCCAAGUAGCGUGAAGGAUGAAGGCCCUAUGGGUCGUAAACUUCUUUUAUAGGGGAAUAAAGUGCGGAACGUGUUCCGCUUUGUAUGUACCCUACGAAUAAGGAUCGGCUAACUCCGUGCCAGCAGCCGCGGUAAUACGGAGGAUCCGAGCGUUAUCCGGAUUUAUUGGGUUUAAAGGGAGCGUAGGUGGACGUAUAAGUCAGUUGUGAAAGUUUGCGGCUCAACCGUAAAAUUGCAGUUGAUACUGUAUGUCUUGAGUGUACAAGAGGUGGGCGGAAUUCGUGGUGUAGCGGUGAAAUGCUUAGAUAUCACGAAGAACUCCGAUUG
RNAcentral lists this ribosomal RNA (536 nucleotides) under uncultured Bacteroides sp. Its description in RNAcentral is "bacterial SSU rRNA". It matches the Rfam family "Bacterial small subunit ribosomal RNA", at positions 179 to 715 of the family's 1533-position model. Lineage: Bacteria; Pseudomonadati; Bacteroidota; Bacteroidia; Bacteroidales; Bacteroidaceae. The record is from RNAcentral.